This 229-nucleotide long non-coding RNA is filed under the name Capsicum annuum. Its description in RNAcentral is "long non-coding RNA (CANN_LNC017443)". The record is from RNAcentral. Lineage: Eukaryota; Viridiplantae; Streptophyta; Magnoliopsida; Solanales; Solanaceae.
UGCAGUACUCUUUCAUAGAAUAAACUGGAAGGGGUUUUAUUUCUCUCCCAUAUUUUCUAAAAUAAUGUGCUCCUAUUUAAAGAAUGAUUAUCACCUGUAUACCCAUUUUUAGCUUUUAUUUACCUGCAAUAUAUAACUCUAUAGCUGACAGCUAGUAUACAACAACAAUCUGGAAGUAAAAACUAAAGAGAACAUUAAUCAAAGUUGUAACUAACAGAUGUAUGAAGGC